UGGAAAUUGAUAGAAGAUCUUGAAACAGAUGUUUUAACUGAAGAUAAUAUGUCAACAUUUCUUCAAUGUUUGAGGGAGCAUGAAGUAAACAAAGGAAGUGGAGAAGCAUCAACAUCAAAAAGAAAAAUGUCAGACAAAGAUACUGGAGAAGCAUCAACAUCAAAAAGACAAAUGUUAGAAAAAGGUUUGUGCUGUGCAGUUGAUGUAUCAUUUUUAAGGCUCACUAACACCAGCGCAAUGAUCCCUCUAAAUGACAACAAAUGGAAUAUGA
Long non-coding RNA from Anneissia japonica, 271 nucleotides. RefSeq lists it as uncharacterized. The transcript is spliced from 3 exons. NCBI's taxonomy places the organism in Eukaryota, Metazoa, Echinodermata, Crinoidea, Comatulida, Comatulidae. The record is from RefSeq and is a predicted model, not a curated record.